AGAGACAGCAGUAGCCGCGGUAAUACAGAGGGUGCGAGCGUUAAUCGGAUUUACUGGGCGUAAAGCGUGCGUAGGCGGCUUUUUAAGUCGGAUGUGAAAUCCCUGAGCUUAACUUAGGAAUUGCAUUCGAUACUGGGAAGCUAGAGUAUGGGAGAGGAUGGUAGAAUUCCAGGUGUAGCGGUGAAAUGCGUAGAGAUCUGGAGGAAUACCGAUGGCGAAGGCAGCCAUCUGGCCUAAUACUGACGCUGAGGUACGAAAGCAUGGGGAGCAAACAGGAUUAGAUACCCCCGUAGUCCCUGUCUCUUAUAA
Molecule: ribosomal RNA, 309 nt
Filed under: uncultured bacterium
Lineage: Bacteria
Description: partial 16S ribosomal RNA
Rfam family: Bacterial small subunit ribosomal RNA
Source: RNAcentral